RNAcentral lists this transfer RNA (71 nucleotides) under Marmota monax (woodchuck). RNAcentral describes it as "tRNA.Ala". It matches the Rfam family "tRNA". From Rfam's summary of the family: Transfer RNA (tRNA) molecules are approximately 80 nucleotides in length. Their secondary structure includes four short double-helical elements and three loops (D, anti-codon, and T loops). Further hydrogen bonds mediate the characteristic L-shaped molecular structure. tRNAs have two regions of fundamental functional importance: the anti-codon, which is responsible for specific mRNA codon recognition, and the 3' end, to which the tRNAs corresponding amino acid is attached (by aminoacyl-tRNA synthetases). tRNAs cope with the degeneracy of the genetic code in two manners: having more than one tRNA (with a specific anti-codon) for a particular amino acid; and 'wobble' base-pairing, i.e. permitting non-standard base-pairing at the 3rd anti-codon position. Lineage: Eukaryota; Metazoa; Chordata; Mammalia; Rodentia; Sciuridae. The record is from RNAcentral.
GGGGUUGUAGCUCAGUGGUAGAGCACUUGCCUAGCAUGUGUGAGGCCCUGGGUUCAAUCCCCAGCACCACA